Molecule: ribosomal RNA, 519 nt
Filed under: uncultured eukaryote
Lineage: Eukaryota
Description: bacterial SSU rRNA
Rfam family: Eukaryotic small subunit ribosomal RNA
Source: RNAcentral
AGGGCACCACCAGGGGUGGAGCCUGCGGCUUAAUUUGACUCAACACGGGAAAACUCACCCGGCCCGGACACUGGAAGGAUUGACAGAUUGAGAGCUCUUUCUUGAUUCAGUGGGUGGUGGUGCAUGGCCGUUCUUAGUUGGUGGAGUGAUUUGUCUGGUUAAUUCCGAUAACGAACGAGACUCUAGCCUAUUAAAUAGAUUCCCGGCUUACAAACGCCGGCAAGACUUCUUAGAGGGACAGGCGGUGAUUCCACCGCACGAAACAAACCAUUAACAGGUCGGUAAGGCCCUUGGUGGUCGGGGGGCACGCGCGCUCCACUGAGGAGAUAUCGUGAGAUAUGUUCCUGCUCCUACCGGAGUGGGGAACCCAGUGAAGCAACCUCGUGAUUGGGAUAGAAGAUUGGAAUUGUACUUCUUGAACGAGGAGUUCCCAGUAAGUGCGAGUCCUAAGCUUGCGUGAUUACGUCCCUGCCCUUUGUACACACGCGCCCGUCUCUACCACCGAUCGAACGACUUAAU